This 334-nucleotide unclassified non-coding RNA is filed under the name soil metagenome. RNAcentral's name for it is "partial contains 5.8S ribosomal RNA, internal transcribed spacer 2, and large subunit ribosomal RNA". The stretch from base 1 to 120 matches the Rfam family "5.8S ribosomal RNA", at positions 35 to 154 of the family's 154-position model. The record is from RNAcentral.
GAUGAAGAACGUAGCAAAAUGCGAUAAGUAAUGUGAAUUGCAGAAUUCAGUGAAUCAUCGAAUCUUUGAACGCACAUUGCGCCCGCUGGUAUUCCGGCGGGCAUGCCUGUUCGAGCGUCAUUUCAACCAUCAAGCCCCAGGCUUGCGUUGGAGCCCUGCGGCUGCCGCAGCCUCCUAAAAGCAGUGGCGGGCUCGCUAUCACACCGAGUGCAGUAGAUUACUCUUCGCUCAGGGCGUGCAGCGGGUUCCGGCCGUGAAACCCCCUACUUUUAAAGGUUGACCUCGGAUCAGGUAGGAAUACCCGCUGAACUUAAGCAUAUCAAUAAGCGGAGGA